UACGGAGGGCGCAAGCGUUGGUCGGAAUCACUGGGCGUAAAGCGCGUGUAGGCGGUUCAGCAAGUCGGCUGUGAAAGCCCGAGGCUCAACCUCGGAACUGCAGCCGAAACUGCCGGGCUCGAGUCCCGGAGAGGGUGGCGGAAUUUCCGGUGUAGAGGUGAAAUUCGUAGAUAUCGGAAGGAACACCAGAGGCGAAGGCGGCCACCUGGACGGUGACUGACGCUGAGAAGCGAAAGCGUGGGGAGCAAACAGG
This 253-nucleotide ribosomal RNA is filed under the name uncultured bacterium. Its description in RNAcentral is "partial 16S ribosomal RNA". It matches the Rfam family "Bacterial small subunit ribosomal RNA", at positions 524 to 776 of the family's 1533-position model. The record is from RNAcentral.